AAGUCGUAACAAGGUUUCCGUAGGUGAACCUGCGGAAGGAUCAUUAAUGAAAUGAUGUUUUUUGGGGUUUUUAAAUCUCAAAAAAUAAUUCACCAUUUGUGCACUGUUAUUAGAUAUACUUUGGUUAGAGCUUUGGUUCCAAAAACAUUUGGAAUCAACUUCUUGCUAACUCUAUCCUAUUGAAUGGGACAGUUGGCUAUGAAGCGGCCUACCAAGGUUUUUUAUCAAACACUUGUAUUUUUGUCUGACCUAAAAACAAAUAAUUAAAUCAUAACUUUCAACAACGGAUCUCUUGGCUCUC
RNAcentral lists this unclassified non-coding RNA (301 nucleotides) under fungal sp. RNAcentral's name for it is "partial internal transcribed spacer region". The stretch from base 1 to 46 matches the Rfam family "Eukaryotic small subunit ribosomal RNA", at positions 1786 to 1831 of the family's 1831-position model. The record is from RNAcentral. Lineage: Eukaryota; Fungi.